UACGGAGGGUGCAAGCGUUGUUCGGAAUCAUUGGGCGUAAAGAGCGUGUAGGCGGCCCGGUCAGUCCGCCGUGAAAGUCCAGGGCUCAACCCUGGAAUGCCGGUGGAUACUGCCGGGCUGGAGUCCGGAAGAGGCGAGUGGAAUUCCUGGUGUAGCGGUGAAAUGCGCAGAUAUCAGGAGGAACACCGAUGGCGAAGGCAGCUCGCUGGGACGGUACUGACGCUGAGACGCGAAAGCGUGGGGAGCAAACAGG
This 253-nucleotide ribosomal RNA is filed under the name uncultured bacterium. RNAcentral describes it as "partial 16S ribosomal RNA". It matches the Rfam family "Bacterial small subunit ribosomal RNA", at positions 524 to 776 of the family's 1533-position model. The record is from RNAcentral.